Molecule: ribosomal RNA, 489 nt
Filed under: uncultured bacterium
Lineage: Bacteria
Description: bacterial SSU rRNA
Rfam family: Bacterial small subunit ribosomal RNA
Source: RNAcentral
GACGAACGCUGGCGGCGUGCCUAAUACAUGCAAGUUGAACGCAACAAAGACACCAGAGCUUGCUCUACCGUCUUUGUUGAGUAGCGAACGGGUGAGUAACGCGUGGGUAACCUGCCUUAUAGCGGGGGAUAACUAUUGGAAACGAUAGCUAAUACCGCAUAACAAUAGAGAUUGCAUAAUCUUUAUUUGAAAGUGCCAACUGGUACACUAUGAGAUGGACCCGCGUUGUAUUAGCUAGUUGGUAGUGUAAUGGACUACCAAGGCGAUGAUACAUAGCCGACCUGAGAGGGUGAUCGGCCACAUUGGGACUGAGACACGGCCCAAACUCCUGCGGGAGGCAGCAGUAGGGAAUCUUCGGGCAAAUGGACGAAAGUCUGACCGAGCAAACGCCGCGUGAGUGAAGAAGGUUUUCGGAUCGUAAAACUCUGUUGUUAGAGAAGAAUGUUGAUUAGAGUGGAAAUUAAUCAAGUGACGGUAUCUAACCAGAAA